Molecule: long non-coding RNA, 216 nt
Filed under: Nicotiana benthamiana
Lineage: Eukaryota; Viridiplantae; Streptophyta; Magnoliopsida; Solanales; Solanaceae
Description: long non-coding RNA (NBEN_LNC000501)
Source: RNAcentral
CACCAAAUUUAUGGAUCAAAACCCUCGCUUUUUAUAGUUUCUCUCUCUCGAAAACCAAACCCCUCUUUCUCUCUCUAAUAUUUGGCCUCGCUUUUCAGUGGCGGCUGAAGCUCUCACUCCACACACCCGUUGUCUCCCUCUAGGGUUUUACAAAUCUCUCCUCCAUUUUUGAAGAUCUAUCUUGUGUUAUGGCAGCUGUUGCUCCUCCCGCUGAUC